CCUACGGGAGGCAGCAGUGGGGGAUAUUGCACAAUGGGGGGAACCCUGAUGCAGCGACGCCGCGUGGGUGAAGGCGGGUUUCGGCGCGUAAAGCCCUAUUGGUAGGGAAGAAGAUGACGGUACCUGACGAAUAAGCCCCGGCUAACUACGUGCCAGCAGCCGCGGGAAUACGUAGGGGGCAAGCGUUAUCCGGAUUUACUGGGUGUAAAGGGGGCGUAGACGGGAAUGCAAGCCAGGUGUGAAAUCCCGGGGCCUAACCCUGGGACUGCACUUGAAACUGCAUGGCUGGAGUACAGGAGGGGCAGGCGGAAUUCCUGGGGUAGCGGUGAAAUGCGUAGAUAUUAGGAGGAACACCGGUGGCGAAGGCGGCCUGCUGGACUGUGACUGACGUUGAGGCCCGAAGGCGUGGGGAGCAAACAGGAUUAGAUACCCCAGUAGUC
Molecule: ribosomal RNA, 440 nt
Filed under: uncultured bacterium
Lineage: Bacteria
Description: partial 16S ribosomal RNA
Rfam family: Bacterial small subunit ribosomal RNA
Source: RNAcentral